CGCUAGCUACAGGCUUAACACAUGCAAGUCGAGGGGCAGCAUGAAGUUUGCUUGCAAACUUUGAUGGCGACCGGCGCACGGGUGAGUAACACGUAUCCAACCUGCCGAUAACUCGGGGAUAGCCUUUCGAAAGAAAGAUUAAUACCCGAUGGCAUGGAAAGUCCGCAUGGUCUUUCCAUUAAAGAACUUCGGUUAUCGAUGGGGAUGCGUUCCAUUAGAUAGUAGGCGGGGUAACGGCCCACCUAGUCAACGAUGGAUAGGGGUUCUGAGAGGAAGGUCCCCCACAUUGGAACUGAGACACGGUCCAAACUCCUACGGGAGGCAGCAGUGAGGAAUAUUGGUCAAUGGACGAGAGUCUGAACCAGCCAAGUAGCGUGAAGGAUGACUGCCCUAUGGGUUGUAAACUUCUUUUAUACGGGAAUAAAGUGUUCCACGUGUGGAAUUUUGUAUGUACCGUAUGAAUAAGGAUCGGCUAACUCCGUGCCAGCAGCCGCGGUAAUACGGAGGAUCCGAGCGUUAUCCGGAUUUAUUGGGUUUAAAGGGAGCGUAGGUGGAAGAUUAAGUCAGCCUGUGAAAGUUUGCGGCUCAACCGUAAAAUUGCAGUUGAUACUGGUUUUCUUGAGUGCAGUAGAGGUCCGUGAAAGUCGUGGUGUAGCGGUGAAAUGAUUAGAGAUCCCUUAUAGGGCCGAUUG
RNAcentral lists this ribosomal RNA (692 nucleotides) under uncultured Bacteroides sp. Its description in RNAcentral is "bacterial SSU rRNA". It matches the Rfam family "Bacterial small subunit ribosomal RNA", at positions 34 to 715 of the family's 1533-position model. The record is from RNAcentral. Lineage: Bacteria; Pseudomonadati; Bacteroidota; Bacteroidia; Bacteroidales; Bacteroidaceae.